Molecule: transfer RNA, 73 nt
Filed under: Cricetulus griseus (Chinese hamster)
Lineage: Eukaryota; Metazoa; Chordata; Mammalia; Rodentia; Cricetidae
Rfam family: tRNA
About the family: Transfer RNA (tRNA) molecules are approximately 80 nucleotides in length. Their secondary structure includes four short double-helical elements and three loops (D, anti-codon, and T loops).
Source: Rfam by way of RNAcentral
UUGCAUGGAGCUCAGUGGUUAAGAGCACCGACUGCUCUUCAGGAAGACCUGGGUUCAAUUCCCAGCACCCACA